Sparus aurata (gilthead seabream) is the source of this 2512-nucleotide long non-coding RNA. Lineage: Eukaryota; Metazoa; Chordata; Actinopteri; Spariformes; Sparidae. The record is from Ensembl.
CAGUAAAUACAUUGAAAUAGCUGUUAUGCUAGCCUUGGUCUGUCCUUAAAGCAACUUUGUGGAAACACGCACUUCAAAGACUUAACCUAAUGUUCAAGUUUGUAUGGUAUUUGUGUGUGUGUGUGUGUGUGUGUGUGUGUGUGUGUGUGUUUGCAUGGUGGGCAUGAGUUAGUCAAACAGAUUUUGUAACAGCAGCAUCAGAUGGACUUUGUCUGCUAAGCGACACUUAACAAGAAGUCUGGUGGAGUGUAUUAGUACUGUAUAGCUCUCAGCAGGAAGAUGAGCCCCAUCAAGAUAUGUUCUGCUUUUGUUAUUGUAACAGUGUUGUGUGUGACCAGAUUGGUUGUGGCAGGACCAUUGGAUAUGAUAUCACGCCAAACAGCAGCCAGACAACAGGGGGGAGCUGUUCUUUUCUUUGCAUCCUACCAGGGUAUUCUCAGAGAGAUCGAGUACAACCCAAUUAUCUUUAACGAAGUGUUGGUUAACCAGGGCUCCGCCUACAGCAAUGAUACUGGUGUGUUCACUGCGCCAGUCGCUGGCAUCUACCAGUUUGUGUUUACUGCACAGCUCUGCCGCGGAAACCACAACAAUCUGUGGCACUUCAUGGUCAAGGGGGACCAGAGGAUGGUAUGCCAUGCUCAGGUGUCCGGAGGUGACACAACCCUCAACACUUGCUACCUCAUGGAUGAAUUGAAGAAAGGUGACCCGGUUUGGAUGAAGCAGAUUGUGGGGAGUUGCGCCUGGGCUAGCACCAUCUCCAAAACCAUCACCUUCUCUGGUGUCCUGCUGGCAAGUGAGGGUGUGUCCACGCUCGGAGGGAAAUAUGGCUCCGGCAGCUCCUGUCCACUGCCCAGCCUCGGCCACACUAAGAGCAUAGUGUCUGUCUCUGCAGGCCAGAGUGCUACUUUGUCUACUGUGGCCAUCGCCAUGCUGCUCUGCCUCCUCCUCUUGGAUUAAUCCUGGAAAGCUGUGUACCUGUAUUAUAUAUGUAUUAGCUUUUAUUUUUAUGCAUCUUAAACCAGCCAUGGUUGUAACAACUGGAUAGUUCUAACAGCCCCACUUUACAUGAAGAAAGGGUGACCUAAAAGACGGGAUUAAUUUGAAAUACGACCAUUUCCUUACUGGAGCAUGUGACCUGUUUCAGCAUGUGUCAGAGCUGUUUGUAAAAGCAUAAAGAUUUUAACGCCAAAACACUGAUUGUCUGGUAAGAACGUAAUUUUUUGGACCAAAUCUAUAUGUUUAAUAAAACUGAUGAUGUCCAAGUUAGAUUUAUUUAACUUGUACUGGAUUAGAAAGUAGUCUCUCUGUCACCUUGCUACAGCGAGCUAAACAAUGACUGACAGGUGGGAACCAUAAUUAUAACAAUUUCUCCAUUGUAUAGCUUUUUUCAGCAUGGCAAGAUGGUAGGGCUGCACGAUAUUGGAAAAAACUGACAUCGUAAUUUUUUUUUUAACCCUGCGAUAUAUAUUGUGAUAUGAAAAAAUACAGGAAUUUUCAUCAGAUGACCUGAAUAGCACUUUAUGCUUUGCUGCACUGCUGCUAUCUUGUGGACAAUUAACCUGCACUGAUCUUACCUGUUUUUGUCAUACUGAGCUGCGUGGUACCGACGUAAAUGUGUUACCUCUCAUUGUGGCAACAGAUGCAAGGCACUGUCGACACAGAACACGUGUUUGGUCAAUAUCAUCCUUCUUGUAACUGAAAUAAUUCCAGAUAACUGAUGUUGCUUUCCUUUUUGGCACCAAGUCUUCGUUUUCUGUGAUUUUCUCUUGCUAUUGCUCAUUUUUCAGUGUUGUUACCAGCGACUCACUCCAUGUGCAGUGUGUGUCAGGUACCCUUGAAAUUAGACGAGUUCAUUUUCCUCCUUCCUACAUCGCAGGCCCUGCUUUGUGACUACUGCGCACACGUACAUUGCAAUGAAGAUUCUCAAACGAUAUAUCGUGCAGCCCUACAAGACGGUAAGUAAAAAAAACAAACACUCGCUCACUAGAGGUGCACGUGCACAAGUAUUACAAUUUGCAUCAGAUGAGGCACAAAAUGACAGUGGUCUGUCACCAAAGAAUACUGUACGAUGUGACCCUGAGCAGGUACCACCUCAGAGAACAAGGAUCAAGACAGCAGUAAAAUAGUCUUCAAUGCUCAGCAAGAGGAUGUCUUGGUUGAGCCCACUUCAAAUAUGAAUUGCGGACAAUAUGUAGAGAAUCAGAUCAGGAUAUUGUCCAAAUUUGGUUGUUCACACAUGCAGCACACAAUAGAAGACUGUUCGUGUUAGAUGUGUCCACACAUGGUACAUAUACAUGUAUUUGGACCUAUCUGCAAUAUCACAAAAGAGUGGAAAGUAAUAUGCAGGCAAGAACAGAAGAGAAGGAAUCAGCUUUUCCGUUCAUGUAUAUUCUGGUGUAGAAAGCGAAGCUGCAGCAUUUUGGAUCUGUGUCCAGCAGCAGCAUGAAUAGGCCAUAGAGAAGCGUGAGAGACCGAGCUGGGAAAUAAAGUUAAACUUGCUUAAUGAUGGCAG